GUUAACGUAGCACAACCUGGCUAUGCAAAAGACCUAAACUCUUUCUAUAUGGGUUCAAAUCCCCUCGUUAACU
This 73-nucleotide transfer RNA is filed under the name Platyplectrum melanopyga (Wokan cannibal frog). RNAcentral's name for it is "tRNA-Leu". It matches the Rfam family "tRNA". From Rfam's summary of the family: Transfer RNA (tRNA) molecules are approximately 80 nucleotides in length. Lineage: Eukaryota; Metazoa; Chordata; Amphibia; Anura; Limnodynastidae. The record is from RNAcentral.